RNAcentral lists this ribosomal RNA (478 nucleotides) under uncultured bacterium. RNAcentral describes it as "bacterial SSU rRNA". It matches the Rfam family "Bacterial small subunit ribosomal RNA", at positions 30 to 506 of the family's 1533-position model. The record is from RNAcentral.
UUGAACGCUGGCGGCAUGCUUUACACAUGCAAGUCGAACGGUAGACCCUUUCGGGGGUUGAGAGUGGCGAACGGGUGAGUAAUGCAUCGGAACAUACCCAGUCGUGGGGGAUAACGUAGCGAAAGUUACGCUAAUACCGCAUGAGUCCUGAGGGAGAAAGCGGGGGAUCGCAAGACCUCGCGCGAUUGGAGUGGCCGAUGUCAGAUUAGCUAGUUGGUGGGGUAAAGGCCUACCAAGGCGACGAUCUGUAGCGGGUCUGAGAGGAUGAUGCGCCACACUGGGACUGAGACACGGCCCAGACUCCUACGGGAGGCAGCAGUGGGGAAUUUUGGACAAUGGGCGAAAGCCUGAUCCAGCCAUGCCGCGUGCGGGAAGAAGGCCUUCGGGUUGUAAACCGCUUUCAGCCGGAAAGAAAUCGUGGCCUCUAACAUAGGCCAUGGAUGACGGUACCGGACUAAGAAGCACCGGCUAACUACGU